GAUGAACGCUGGCGGCGUGCCUAAUACAUGCAAGUCGAACGCAUAGCGAAAGGUGCUUGCACCUUUCAAGUGAGUGGCGAACGGGUGAGUAACACGUGGACAACCUGCCUCAAGGCUGGGGAUAACAUUUGGAAACAGAUGCUAAUACCGAAUAAAACUUAGUGUCGCAUGACACAAAGUUAAAAGGCGCUUCGGCGUCACCUAGAGAUGGAUCCGCGGUGCAUUAGUUAGUUGGUGGGGUAAAGGCCUACCAAGACAAUGAUGCAUAGCCGAGUUGAGAGACUGAUCGGCCACAUUGGGACUGAGACACGGCCCAACCUCCUACGGGAGGCUGCAGUAGGGAAUCUUCCACAAUGGGCGAAAGCCUGAUGGAGCAACGCCGCGUGUGUGAUGAAGGCUUUCGGGUCGUAAAGCACUGUUGUAUGGGAAGAACAGCUAGAAUAGGAAAUGAUUUUAGUUUGACGGUACCAUACCAGAAAGGGACGGCUAAAUACGUG
RNAcentral lists this ribosomal RNA (497 nucleotides) under uncultured bacterium. RNAcentral's name for it is "partial 16S ribosomal RNA". It matches the Rfam family "Bacterial small subunit ribosomal RNA", at positions 28 to 507 of the family's 1533-position model. The record is from RNAcentral.